GUGCAGAGGUGUGGGGGGAGAGACAGUGUUUGUCUGAAGCACCGUGAGCUCCGAUCAAAGAUGAACCUGGCUCUGGUCCAUGACAGAGAGCUCAUUAAGACGUUCUGGGAGAGGAGGAUCGAGACUCAGACUCAGCAAGCUGACAGCGAGGAGCAGAGGAUGAGCCAGAGCGCACUCAAAAAGCUGAGGGGGGAGUGGCUGGUCCGUCUGGAGAACCGAACCAAACACCUGAAGAACCUCAAUGACAACUACAUGAGGAAGAUGAAGAUGGAGCCGUCAGCUGACCAGACCUGAGCCCCCGAUAACUCGCCGUAGAGCUGCUGAGCCAACAACCGCGUCUCCUCCUGCUGCUGUUGCAUCAGAGCCAGCAGUGUCAGGCUGUGCUGAUUCUGCAGCAGGUGUAAAGAUCACUGAGACUCACUCUGAAGCCUCUGACCGCCAACAUGGCGCCAUCUGCUGGACAAACAGGAACAAACCUCGAGGAGGGGCUGAACGUUCAGUCCAGUAAAGGUGGGAACAUGAAGGAGUUUCCGACGCCGGCCACAUGCAGCGUGUGAACCAAUAAAUAAUCUAUAAGUGACCAUUAGUGACAAAACCAU
Molecule: long non-coding RNA, 599 nt
Organism: Astatotilapia calliptera (eastern happy)
Lineage: Eukaryota; Metazoa; Chordata; Actinopteri; Cichliformes; Cichlidae
Source: Ensembl